GCCUCUGUAGCUUAAAUCUCUAAAGCAUUGGUCUUGUAAACCAAAAAUGGGCUAUAGUUGCCCCAGAGACA
RNAcentral lists this transfer RNA (71 nucleotides) under Holbrookia lacerata. RNAcentral describes it as "tRNA-Thr". It matches the Rfam family "tRNA". Rfam says of the family: Transfer RNA (tRNA) molecules are approximately 80 nucleotides in length. Their secondary structure includes four short double-helical elements and three loops (D, anti-codon, and T loops). Lineage: Eukaryota; Metazoa; Chordata; Lepidosauria; Squamata; Phrynosomatidae. The record is from RNAcentral.